This 881-nucleotide ribosomal RNA is filed under the name Heterobasidion sp. RNAcentral describes it as "partial large subunit ribosomal RNA". The stretch from base 1 to 628 matches the Rfam family "Eukaryotic large subunit ribosomal RNA", at positions 65 to 664 of the family's 3401-position model. The record is from RNAcentral. Lineage: Eukaryota; Fungi; Basidiomycota; Agaricomycetes; Russulales; Bondarzewiaceae.
CUAACAGGAUUCCCCUAGUAACUGCGAGUGAAGCGGGAAAAGCUCAAAUUUAAAAUCUGGCGGCCUCCGGUCGUCCGAGUUGUAGUCUGGAGAAGUGUUUUCCGCGUCGGACCGUGUAUAAGUUUCCUGGAACGGAGCGUCAUAGAGGGUGAGAAUCCCGUCUUUGACACGGACUGCCGAUGCUUUGUGAUGCGCUCUCGAAGAGUCGAGUUGUUUGGGAAUGCAGCUCAAAAUGGGUGGUGAAUUCCAUCUAAAGCUAAAUAUUGGCGAGAGACCGAUAGCGAACAAGUACCGUGAGGGAAAGAUGAAAAGCACUUUGGAAAGAGAGUUAAACAGUACGUGAAAUUGUUGAAAGGGAAACGAUUGAAGUCAGUCGCGUCCGCCGGGACUCAGCCUUGCGUUCUCGCUCGGUGUACUUUCUGGUGGACGGGCCAGCAUCAAUUUUGAUCGUCGGAAAAGGAUCGGGGAAAUGUGGCACCUUUCGGGGUGUGUUAUAGUCUCCGGUCGCAUACGACGGUUGGGAUUGAGGAACUCAGCAUGCCUUUACGGUCGGGGGUUCGCCCACGUUUCAUGCUUAAGGAUGCUGGGCGUAAUGGGCUUUUAAACGACCCCGUCUUUGAAACACCGGACCAAGGGAGUCUAAACAUGGCCCCGCGAAUGGUUCCGGGUGGGAAAAACCCCGUGGCGCCGUAAUUGAAAAGUGGAAAAGUUGGGGGACCUCCUUGUCCGCGGAAAGGGCACCCGACCGCCCCGGAACCAGAAACUUUCUUGUUGACCGGAAUCUUGCCGGUAAGAAGCCGUGGUAUUGUUUGGGGAACCCCGAAAAGAAUGGGUGGAAACUAAUGGCCCUGGAAAUAAGGGGUGGAAAAGCCCGGAAGGAA